RNAcentral lists this long non-coding RNA (717 nucleotides) under Trifolium pratense (red clover). Its description in RNAcentral is "long non-coding RNA (TPRA_LNC009339)". Lineage: Eukaryota; Viridiplantae; Streptophyta; Magnoliopsida; Fabales; Fabaceae. The record is from RNAcentral.
UGAUAGUUAGAUGGUUUCUUCCGAUCAUCUUAGUUUCUUAAUUGUUUCUAUUUUCAUGUUUUAUCAAGUAAUUUACAAAAGAUAACACUGGUCUCUUUCCUAAUUGGCACAAGUUUAUUUGGAUGGGCAACCAAGCAAAUUAUAAAUGUUAUUCAGGUCUAUACAGAGUACAUGAUUUAUUUAUGCCUGCAUAUUUUAGAUGAUGAGAGGCUCUAUAUAUUUAGUUUUUUAUUAUCACCAUCCUAUAAUGGGAAGAAAAAGAAAAUCUGAACACCAAGAAAACAGGGUAGUGCUAAAUUGUUCAUAUAUUUUAAUAUUGAAUAUGUUCUUUGGUGUAGGGUCUAAUAUGACAUUGUGUGACACGCUUGAGUUGCAAUGAGACUUUGCUAUUUAUAUGAUUGAAUAGUAUAAUUAUGAAGUGGAUGAAGAAUUGUCAUUUUUUCUGUGAUUAUUAUAUGGGGUGUUUCAAUUUUUUGAAUGAACUAAAAAAGAUGCAGGCACAUCUUAUCAUUGUUUUGUUGUUUGUUUUAUACUUCAUACUAUAUAUUAUGCACACAUAAAAGAACGGAUAGUACGAGAUGUAGAGUUUUGUCUUGGAUUCAAAGAAGAAGGCAUUUUAAGAAGACACCAUGUUUAUGUAGGAUUAGUGAAAGAUUUAGUGAAAAUAGAUAAUUUGUUAGCUUUUACAUCACCAACUUUCAGGUAUUUAUAAAAAUG